This 929-nucleotide long non-coding RNA is filed under the name Coffea arabica (coffee). RNAcentral describes it as "long non-coding RNA (CARA_LNC001692)". The record is from RNAcentral. Lineage: Eukaryota; Viridiplantae; Streptophyta; Magnoliopsida; Gentianales; Rubiaceae.
AGCGUAGUUACCUGUAUACAAAUUUGUCUCCAUAUUUGCAAGGCCGUCAAGUUUGACUCUGGUUUACAAUUUUCUUCCACAUUACUUGGUCGAUAUAUUCAUGAUUGUAUCACUUGCUUUUCCAACUUUCUUGAAAAGAUUCAAGAAGAGAAUGAGUUUGUAGGAGGUAAGGAAGGGUCCUCCAUCUCAUCUGCAUGUCUGUCUAUCUGUCUGUCUUUGAAUUCACAAGUUCUGAGCCAAAAAAAGAGAGGGAAUUGUAUUUGGAUGCGGUGAGGAUCCCCUUCCAUACUAAUUAACCCGUGCAGAAAUUGUAAUAAUUCAUUUUUCCCCCGGCCAAAUCAACAUAUUAUAAGCACAAAGGACAAAAACAUAAGGAAAAAAUCAUCAAGAACUGUUUUGAUAAGGCAUGUCCUUCUACCUUCUGGCCAGGUGAAUGAACACUUUGUUGAUGUUGAUUCUUCUGAAGUAUCAAAAGCACAAUGAUGAAUGAGCUGCCUGAGGGUGUCUCAAGUUGAGAUGCUAGCUAGUAAGGUUGCCCGUCAAAUCCCAGCCUAGUCGUCUUGGAUGAUUCCCUUGCCUUUUUACAUCAUUCAGAACCCCUUUUGCCACAACACUUGAAUGUCAGGAAGAUGAUAGAACAUGGCAUCAAAGAGUCCUGGAAACAAGAAACUUCCCAUAGGACGAAUUGAUGGGCCCUUGUCUCGUUAGCCGUUUAUCCUCUUGGAAUAAUGACGGGCUUCCAGUACAAAGCUCCCUCAAGGAAAUUGGCCAAGGAAAAUAGGAAAUAUGACGGCAUUUGCGGGUGGCAAGAUUUGCUCAAGCCCCCGGUCUAUCAGGAGAUUUUGGUUUCUGUCGGCGAAAGACGUGAAGGUUUUUUUUGGUGGACGAUGUGAUCAGUAGAACUGGGGGGCAAAGGCAUGUUCUUGCCC